Molecule: ribosomal RNA, 254 nt
Filed under: uncultured bacterium
Lineage: Bacteria
Description: partial 16S ribosomal RNA
Rfam family: Bacterial small subunit ribosomal RNA
Source: RNAcentral
CGUAGGGUGCAAGCGUUGUCCGGAUUUAUUGGGCGUAAAGAGCUCGUAGGCGGUUUGUCGCGUCGGAUGUGAAAACCUAUGGCUUAACCAUGGGCCUGCAUUCGAUACGGGCAAACUAGAGUUCGGUAGGGGAGACUGGAACUCCUGGUGUAGCGGUGAAAUGCGCAGAUAUCAGGAAGAACACCGGUGGCGAAGGCGGGUCUCUGGGCCGAUACUGACGCUGAGGAGCGAAAGCGUGGGGAGCAAACAGGAUU